This 474-nucleotide ribosomal RNA is filed under the name uncultured bacterium. Its description in RNAcentral is "bacterial SSU rRNA". It matches the Rfam family "Bacterial small subunit ribosomal RNA", at positions 34 to 507 of the family's 1533-position model. The record is from RNAcentral.
CGCUGGCGGCGUGCUUAACACAUGCAAGUCGAACGAGAAUCUGCGGAAAGAGGAUUCGUCCAAUUGAAGCAGAGGACAGUGGCGGACGGGUGAGUAACGCGUGAGGAACCUGCCUUUCAGAGGGGGACAACAGUUGGAAACGACUGCUAAUACCGCAUGACACAUCGGAGUCGCAUGGCUCUGAUGUCAAAGAUUUAUCGCUGAAAGAUGGCCUCGCGUCUGAUUAGCUAGUUGGUGAGGUAACGGCCCACCAGGGCGACGAUCAGUAGCCGGACUGAGAGGUUGACCGGCCACAUUGGGACUGAGAUACGGCCCAGACUCCUACGGGAGGCAGCAGUGGGGAAUAUUGGGCAAUGGGCGCAAGCCUGACCCAGCAACGCCGCGUGAAGGAAGAAGGCUUUCGGGUUGUAAACUUCUUUUAAGUGGGAAGAGUAGAAGACGGUACCACUUGAAUAAGCCACGGCUAACUACGUG